GCCUCUGUAGCUCAGUUGGUUAGAGCGCUGCACCGGAAUCACAGGGCCAUAUAUAGGUUCAAUUCCUACCAGAGGAC
This 77-nucleotide transfer RNA is filed under the name Paramuricea clavata. It matches the Rfam family "tRNA". From Rfam's summary of the family: Transfer RNA (tRNA) molecules are approximately 80 nucleotides in length. Their secondary structure includes four short double-helical elements and three loops (D, anti-codon, and T loops). The record is from Rfam by way of RNAcentral. Lineage: Eukaryota; Metazoa; Cnidaria; Anthozoa; Malacalcyonacea; Plexauridae.